Molecule: ribosomal RNA, 749 nt
Filed under: uncultured bacterium
Lineage: Bacteria
Description: bacterial SSU rRNA
Rfam family: Bacterial small subunit ribosomal RNA
Source: RNAcentral
UGAGAGCUUGCUUUUGAUUAUUUUAGCGGCGGCACGUGGUGAGUAACGUGUGGGUAACCUGCCUUUUACUGUGGAAUAAUCGUUGGAAGCGACGACUAAUACCGCAUACGGUUCUUGGAAGGCAUCUUCUAAGAAAGAAAGGAUUUAUUCGGUAAAAGAUGGGCCCGCAUCUGAUUAGCUAGUUGGUGAGAUAAUAGCCCACCAAGGCAACGAUCAGUAGCCGACCUGGGAGGGUGACCGGCCACAUUGGGACUGAGACACGGCCCAAACUCCUACGGGAGGCAGCAGUGGGGAAUAUUGCACAAUGGGCGAAAGCCUGAUGCAGCAACGCCGCGUGAAGGAAGACGGUUUUCGGAUUGUAAACUUCUAUCAAUAGGGAAGAAAGAAAUGACGGUACCUAAAUAAGAAGCCCCGGCUAACUACGUGCCAGCAGCCGCGGUAAUACGUAGGGGGCAAGCGUUAUCCGGAUUUACUGGGUGUAAAGGGAGCGUAGACGGUGAAGCAAGUCUGAAGUGAAAGGCGGGGGCUCAACCCCCGGACUGCUUUGGAAACUGUUUGACUGGAGUGCAGGAGAGGUAAGUGGAAUUCCUAGUGUAGCGGUGAAAUGCGUAGAUAUUAGGAGGAACACCAGUGGCGAAGGCGGCUUACUGGACUGUAACUGACGUUGAGGCUCGAAAGCGUGGGGAGCAAACAGGAUUAGAUACCCUGGUAGUCCACGCGGUAAACGAUGAUCACUAGGUGUCGGUGAG